AAGUGAGGAUCAGCGAUGGCUAGAAGGCUUUGAAGUCGGGUUUUUCCUGGAUUUACAAGACAUUUGAAAUUGACCUGGCAAGCCUGUCUCAGUCUGAGCAUGAUCACAACAAAAGUAGCUGUGCAGCACGUUUUUUAAUGAAGAGGAGGAUGGUUGUAGACGUUCACAUUCCUGCAAUAAGGCACUGCAGAGGCUAAGAAGACGCAUGGAAACUCUAAAAGAAACAUAAUUCAACUUGUAGGCCAGAUUUGAAAAGGAAAUAAUAAAUCCCGAAGCUCAGAUGUCAGACACCGAGGCUGCCAGUACCUCUGGGUCGAUAGUCCAUGUGUUGGAUGAUGCACUGCCGUUGAUCAGAACAAGUUAGUAACUUGACCAAAGCUAUGCUUGGAUACAAGACUGAUGACUCAAUAACCAAUAUUGACAACAGUGAAGAUGGUUGCGUCCCAGGGCCAUCAGAGGAAGGCAAUUUCUAUGAAGAAAAUCUGACCGGAGAGAUGUCAGCGAUUCGGGCCAAUGACCAAGGGAAAGCUGGGACAAAAGAGAGGCUCACACGGUGCCAAAGGAACAAAAAGGUAUUGGUCGACAAUAGAGGUGGAUGCAGUUGAUUCCUUGAUGAAUUUUAUCCGAAUGGGAAAAACAACUGGAAAACAAGACUGUGAGAAUUGCAUUGCUGCUUCUCCCCAAGCGCUAGUAAACAGGGACUGGAGAGCAGUUAAGUUCUAUGUACACAACAGAAUAGUUGCAGAUCAGAGAAAAUAAGUGUAUGAGAUGCUUCUGGCUAUCUUGGUGUACUUCUGAGGAUUUAAUGGGACUUACUUGACUUAAACUCAUCAACAGAUGACGAAUGUCCUCUAUCUCACUGUUUCGAUCGUCAAAAGGAGUGGAUCAAAACGCAGCGUGUUGAGUGCUCAUAUUUAUUACACUUAAAAAAAGAAUCAAAAACGAAAGCAAACAGUUCCGUCAGGCAACAGACAACUAAACGGAAAACCACUACCCACAAAAACCCAGGUGGGAAAAGGAUGCCUAAGUAUGGCUCCCAAUCAAAGACAACGAUAGACAGCUGCCUCUUAUUAGGAACCAUACCGGGCCAAAACAUAGAAAUAAAACACAUAGAAUGCCCACCCCAUAUCACACCCUGACCUAACCAAACAGAGAGAAAUGGCUCUCUCAGGUCAGGGCGUGACACUCACUGUCCGGGG
RNAcentral lists this long non-coding RNA (1199 nucleotides) under Salmo salar (Atlantic salmon). RNAcentral's name for it is "lncRNA (ENSSSAG00000114734.1)". Lineage: Eukaryota; Metazoa; Chordata; Actinopteri; Salmoniformes; Salmonidae. The record is from RNAcentral.